AUGGCCAUUACAUUUUGCGUAUCAGCUCUUGACACGACAAUUUGGACUCCACGAUUAUACAUCAAGUUUCUGUUUUUCCCGGAAGAUAUAUACGAUUAUCACCUUCAAAAACUCUGCUUGGGAACUAUUUUUCUCCCUAAAAUUGAUAAGAUGAGUGGGAGAGGAAACAAAGGAAGUAGAGGUGGGGGGAGAGGAGCUACGAGCAUAUCUCUUUCGGAGGCAAAGGCAAAUAUUAAUCAAGAUCUGGCUAAUUUGUCACGACAAACCUUGAAGGACGUGGGGAAUAUUAUACAGCAACCUGGCCCGACGAAACCUAGAUCCUUCAACCUCAAACCUAUUCCAAAGAAUUCUCUGGUCUUAAGAAACCCCUCUGAAUCGAAGAUAUCAAUGAAAGACUAUCAACGACCUCAGAACCCAGGAGAUGGGAAGCAGUCAUCCGGAUUGAAUGGAAAACAGAAAUUGAUUCCUAGUCAUACCCCUCAGGAGAGUCAGCUUAAUAAUCCCAGUAUUGGGCAACAGAAGACUUAUAAACAGCCAUCUACAUCUAAAACACCUAAUAAUGAACAGUGCUCUUAUUCAAUGCAGAAGUCACCUCAAAUUCCAAAACCCCCCUCAUCAACCUCACAGCAGCGAGCAGCCUCAAAUCGCACGUACCUUAAAGGACCAAUCCGUAUGCCAACAGUGUUGGCAUCAGAAUCAGUCCCUCCUCUAACAACGAACAGAACGACGAAGCCUCCCGAACAUCUUGCCCCACAAAAUCCCAACCAGAGACAACAGGCAUCAAAUCCACUCACGACACCUACUCCAGAACCCUGAAUAAUUGCAGCUCCCCUGGCCAGAACGGGGGAUCCCCCUCGUGAUUAUGUCAACGCCCCAGCAGAAUUAUUCUUGGAUGCGGUGACUGGAAUACGUUCGCAGUUGGACCGCAUCGAGGAAUCCUUGAAGCAAAUUUCUGUGGAUGUGAGGCAUCAGCGUCGACAAGGGCAAUUUGUCAUACCUGAUUGUUUGAAAUUCCAAACUCUGGAAGACUUAGCUAAAUUCGAAGAAAUUGAUGAGGCAACGUAUUACUACAACGGGGUAGUCGAUUAUCUAGCUUUUCUUGGGGGCAGCGACGUUGAUGCUUGUGCUAAGCUGUAUUUCAACGAAGCAUUUGACGAGAAUGAGUGGGUCUCGGAUUAUUAUGUAUAGGGAGGAGUUGAGAGAAAACAAGUGGAGCGAAAGAGACAGCAGAAAAAGAUGUUGAAGAAUAGUCGUUUCACUUCAGCGUGUUUUGACGCAAUGGCUGAAAAUCGAUAUUUCGAGAAACCAACGAGAGAUGUUUUCCAUAGCUGUAUGGAGAAGGCAUUUAAAGCCUUGAAGGAACGUCGUCGAAAGAAAUUGGAAAAACAAAAUAAGGAAACUGAAAGGACUGGAAGAACUGACGAAAAUACUCGUGCUGAUUCACCAGCUCUUGAAGAUAGGACCACAAGUCGAGGGAGUAGAACACCUCGGGGAGAAAUCGAAAUGGAACACGCAGAAUCCUAACAGAACAGAGUUCCAAGGAAUGAUUGGAGAUGGAGAUGAUUCGACAACUAGCCUCAGUCCGGGAGACAAUGAUAUUGGCAUUACCUCUGACGACAUGGAGUUCGAUGGAGAAGACUUACUGCAUGGAGCCACCGAAGCAGAUAGUCGUCAUAUUAUAACGGAUGAAGAUGCUCUCCUUGCGUCAUCCAUCGAAAAUUUGUCAGCUUAUUUUUCAUAGCAUAAUCAGGAAUGAUAGAAUAGCUUAUCAUGUCCACAUAUGGAGAAAUCUAAUAGGAAAGCCUAGUAAAUUCGCAUAUAAAUUCAACUAGUUUUCGAUCGGAAGUACUUUGAAAAUUAACUUUUUUCAUUUUCUGAUACUCUGGGAAAAAUAUUUCUGCUAUUGAAACAUUUUCUCUAGAAAAUACCGGGCUCAAAUUUUUCAGUUUUUUACUCAUAUUUUAUAGUGAAAGGAACAAAAAUCCACUGAGAAUAAAUUCGGACAUUUAUUUCAGGAAAUUUCUAUAAACAACCUUUUAGUAGAAUAGCUCACAUACAGAAAUUAAAAUCAAUCAAAUAUUUCUGUUUCAAAGUGUAGAAAUUUGGCGAAUUAUUAGAAAUUGAAUCUGCCAAGAACAAACAGGAUUUUGCAUGGAAUUGGGAUACAAUUUGCUAGCGCUAGGCCUUUCUAUUGGAUCGAGUAUUCGUGUUUGUAUAAUCUGUUAUCCAUAUGAUGUGUCAAUAGCCCUGAAGGGAAGAGGGAUAAAAUGGAUAUUCGUUCACCUUCAUUUAGUGGAGAUUAACGAAGUCGAUUUAAACUAUUUUUUUUUAGUUCGCAAAUAUUUUUCCAGACUUCAAAAUUAUAUUUGAUGAAUCUACAUUCUACUAUUGCAUAAUAUAUUGAUCUAAGACGAUCCAUUUUACCCCAUCUUCUUCUACAAACAAGAGAAUCACUGUAUGUACUGAUAUUAAGAUUGUAAAGAUAAUAAUAAUGAAUAAAUAAUGAAUAAAAUCGUGA
Diachasma alloeum is the source of this 2518-nucleotide long non-coding RNA. RefSeq lists it as uncharacterized. The transcript has 7 exons. The record is from RefSeq and is a predicted model, not a curated record. Lineage: Eukaryota; Metazoa; Arthropoda; Insecta; Hymenoptera; Braconidae.